UGAAAGAAUUCAACCACUCAUGCCUUCUUUCAGUCAAAGUGCGAAGUUUCUCAUGACACCAGUGAGUCUCCGCAUUUGAUAAGGACAAAACUGAUACUUUUAUAGGGAAAAAGACUGUGGGAAGAUCUGGAUGGGAUCUAGGUGUGGUUCCAGAUAUCUCAAACAGAUGCUAUCAGUCAGGGUUUCCAACUGUAGUUGCCCCAGGGUUGUUGUGAAGCAGGUGUCUCAUAUGAACUAUUAUUAAAAUCUUCUAAAAGCUGAUAUUGAAACCUCAAAGUGCCACAUUGAGAAUAGAUUACUACAAGA
Molecule: non-coding RNA, 306 nt
Organism: Phascolarctos cinereus (koala)
Lineage: Eukaryota; Metazoa; Chordata; Mammalia; Diprotodontia; Phascolarctidae
Source: RefSeq, a predicted model, not a curated record